Molecule: ribosomal RNA, 207 nt
Filed under: Triticum aestivum (bread wheat)
Lineage: Eukaryota; Viridiplantae; Streptophyta; Magnoliopsida; Poales; Poaceae
Description: partial small subunit ribosomal RNA
Source: RNAcentral
AUGGAGGCGGAUGACUGGGAGGAGUUCCAAUUGAAAGCAGCCGGAACUAUACGGUUGUGUCUGUCGGACCAAGUUAUAUAUCAUGUGAUGGAUGAGAAUUCGCCGAAGAAGAUCUGGGAGAAGCUGGAAAGUCAGUUUAUGUCCAAGACUACGACGACCAAGGUGUAUCUGAAGCAAAAGUUGUAUGGGAUGAGGAUGCAAGAGGGG